This 253-nucleotide ribosomal RNA is filed under the name uncultured bacterium. Its description in RNAcentral is "partial 16S ribosomal RNA". It matches the Rfam family "Bacterial small subunit ribosomal RNA", at positions 524 to 776 of the family's 1533-position model. The record is from RNAcentral.
UACAGAGGGUGCGAGCGUUGUCCGGAAUCACUGGGCGUAAAGGGCGCGUAGGCGGCUCGGUAAGGUUGCGGUGAAAGCCCGGGGCUCAACCCCGGGUCGGCCGUGGCAACUGCUGAGCUAGAGCACUGUAGAGGCAGGUGGAAUUCCGGGUGUAGCGGUGGAAUGCGUAGAGAUCCGGAAGAACACCGGUGGCGAAGGCGGCCUGCUGGGCAGUGGCUGACGCUGAGACGCGAAAGCGUGGGGAGCAAACAGG